CGUCAUGGGAGCCUCGCCAAGCCACAUUAACUACGUAACGCAGCACCCGGGAUCCGAGUGCGUUGGUUCGAGUUAGCGUCGUAGUUGAUUUUCGACUUUCCCAGGUCUCUCGAUUAACGAUGAGUAGGUACGAGAGCGAUAUGGAUGUGGGGACUUUUAAGAGAUGGAUUUUGGGAGCUUUGAGGCUGCGUCCUUUGAGUGGAAGGACGGCCGUGUCACCCCCCAUUCUUGUUGGUUUUGGGGUG
Molecule: long non-coding RNA, 245 nt
Organism: Eucalyptus grandis
Lineage: Eukaryota; Viridiplantae; Streptophyta; Magnoliopsida; Myrtales; Myrtaceae
Exons: 3
Source: RefSeq, a predicted model, not a curated record